Bubalus bubalis (water buffalo) is the source of this 457-nucleotide long non-coding RNA. RefSeq lists it as uncharacterized. NCBI's taxonomy places the organism in Eukaryota, Metazoa, Chordata, Mammalia, Artiodactyla, Bovidae. The transcript has 2 exons. The record is from RefSeq and is a predicted model, not a curated record.
CAGAUCUCCAGCCUUAUCGGGAAGCAGAUGAGCCAGGAGUUCAGUGCAGUGAACUGGGAGGCUGAAAGUCACCUCCAUGCUGGCACCUGGCCCACAGCAUUGGGCUGGAAGUGUUUUCAGGUCCCACGAUGGGAGAGCCGUAGAGCACAGGGGAGGCUGCAGACAGAGGGAGACUUUUCAGAACACGUCUCCAGAUGCCUUCUUCUUUCAUGUGUUCAUUAAAUGUACUUACUCUUUGACUUGCACUUAAAGACUUACGUGUUAAAUAGUUUUUGAUUUAUGUAUAUGUAUAAUCUAUGCCUUCAAUAUCUGUCCAUAAUUUCAUUCUCUGUCUUGAAUUCCAAGCUCCUAGAAAGUGCAGACUCUGCACUACAUGAGUAAUAUUGCUUUGUAAAAUGCUUGGCAUGUUGCCACCUGGUACUUUGAGAUGUUAACAGUGGUAAUAAAGUUCAAAUCC